GAUCCUGGCUCAGAAUAAACGCUGGCGGCGUGUCUUAAGCAUGCAAGUCGGACGGCAAGCCGCCUUCGGGCGGCCUAGAGUGGCGGACUGGUGAGUAACACGUGGGUGAUAUACCUUUUGGACGGGGAUAGCCCCUAGAAAUAGGGGGUAAUACCGGAUAAGGCCGUGCGGGUUGGAGCCGCACGUGGGAAAGGCGCUAUGGUGCCGCCGAAAGAAUAGCCUGCGACCUAUCAGCUUGUUGGUGAGGUAAACGGCCCACG
Molecule: ribosomal RNA, 260 nt
Filed under: uncultured bacterium
Lineage: Bacteria
Description: partial 16S ribosomal RNA
Rfam family: Bacterial small subunit ribosomal RNA
Source: RNAcentral